UCUGGUUCUCGUCUGAUCACCGCAGUUAAGCAGCAUCCGGCGUGGUCAGUACUUAGAUGGGCGACCACCUCGGAACACUGCGUGAUGUU
Molecule: non-coding RNA, 89 nt
Organism: Araneus ventricosus
Lineage: Eukaryota; Metazoa; Arthropoda; Arachnida; Araneae; Araneidae
Source: the annotation of a GenBank genome assembly